Molecule: ribosomal RNA, 253 nt
Filed under: uncultured bacterium
Lineage: Bacteria
Description: partial 16S ribosomal RNA
Rfam family: Bacterial small subunit ribosomal RNA
Source: RNAcentral
UACGUAGGGACCAAGCGUUGUUCGGAUUUACUGGGCGUAAAGGGCGCGUAGGCGGCAAUUCAAGUCAUCUGUGAAAUCUCCGGGCUUAACCCGGAAAGGUCAGAUGAUACUGCUUUGCUAGAGUGCGGAAGGGGCAAUCGGAAUUCUUGGUGUAGCGGUGAAAUGCGUAGAUAUCGGAAGGAACAUCAGUGGCGAAGGCGACUUCCUGGACCAAUACUGACGCUCAGGUGCGAAAGCGUGGGGAGCAAACAGG